RNAcentral lists this small nucleolar RNA (187 nucleotides) under Chinchilla lanigera (long-tailed chinchilla). RNAcentral describes it as "Small nucleolar RNA SNORA73 family (ENSCLAG00000019934.1)". It matches the Rfam family "Small nucleolar RNA SNORA73 family". From Rfam's summary of the family: U17 (SNORA73A and SNORA73B) also known as E1 belongs to the H/ACA class of small nucleolar RNAs (snoRNAs). Vertebrate U17 is intron-encoded and ranges in length from 200-230 nucleotides, longer than most snoRNAs. It is one of the most abundant snoRNAs in human cells and is essential for the cleavage of pre-rRNA within the 5' external transcribed spacer (ETS). Lineage: Eukaryota; Metazoa; Chordata; Mammalia; Rodentia; Chinchillidae. The record is from Rfam by way of RNAcentral.
CCAAUAAAUUUCAGAAAUGUUAAAAAUCAUACUCUCCAUAAGGGAGCACAAGGCUCUGCCCCAUGGUAUACAUUUCCUUUCUACAAUGGAGAAGAAGCUGGGCCUUGUGUCUGCACCUGCAUAUUCCUACAACUUCUCAGAGUCCUUUGGGCAAUGACUGAGGAGAUAAACCAUGCAGGAAAUGAUA